RNAcentral lists this ribosomal RNA (484 nucleotides) under uncultured bacterium. RNAcentral's name for it is "SSU rRNA". It matches the Rfam family "Bacterial small subunit ribosomal RNA", at positions 26 to 521 of the family's 1533-position model. The record is from RNAcentral.
AGAAUGAACGCUGGCGCGGUGCUUAACGACGAUGCAAGUCGAACGGAAUCCAAGGAGCUUGCUCUGGAAGAUUUAGUGGCGAACGGGUGAGUAUCACGUGAGCAACCUGCCCCGAAGACUGGGAUAACACCGGGAAACCGGUGCUAAUACCGGAUACCUUCCAAUGACCGCAUGGUCGAUGGAAGAAAUGUUUUUCGCUUCGGGAGGGGCUCGCGGUCCAUCAGCUUGUUGGCGGGGUAACGGCCCACCAAGGCUUCGACGGAUAGCUGGUCUGAGAGGACGAUCAGCCACACUGGAACUGAGACACGGUCCAGACUCCUACGGGAGGCAGCAGUGGGGAAUCUUGCGCAAUGGACGAAAGUCUGACGCAGCAACGCCGCGUGAGGGACGAAGGUUUUCUGAAUUGUAAACCUCUUUCGACAGGGGACAUAAUGACGGUACCUGUAGAAGAAGCACCGGCCAACUAUGUGCCAGCAGCCGCGGU